UGGACGAGAGGGACGCCGCCAUCAGGGAGAAGCUGAGCAGCGUGAAGGACACCUCGGCGGAGGUGAAGCAGCUGGAGGCGCAGGGCAACGCCAUGAUGAAGGCGGCGAGGGCGGAGAUCUCGGCGGCGCUGAACAAGAUGAAGAAGGAGACGCAGGUGGAGGUGGAGGCCAAGCUGGCCGAGGGGAGGAAGAAGAUCGAGGCGGAGCUGCAGGAGGCGCUCGCCAGCUUGGAGAAGCAGAAGGAUGAGACCAUCGCCGCGCUCGAUUCGCAGAUCGCGGCGCUCAGCGAUGAGAUUGUCAAGAAAGUUCUUCCCGUUUCUUGAUCACUCACUUUCUUUUUUCAUGUGCUUUUCAAUCUAUAAACUAAAACUGCUACAUAUGUAAUUACUGAUUUUUACGUGGAAUACUUUGGACUGCGUUUAUUUUGCAUGAUUGAUAAGACGAGAUGUUUAGUUUGAUGGAUUAGAUACGAUUUAGGCGUUCGAUUGCUCGAGAUUGAAUUGUUCGGAGAUGGCCUGAGAUUAUUUUUGCAAUAGGGGUAAGGCGAUGACUCGAAGUCAUAACUAUCUCGAGAUUAAGUAUUGAGUUAUAUUUAUAUCUAAUCCUACAAAUCGAACAUCCUUUUGUGAUAUGUUAUGACAUUGUUUGGUUGGAUG
This 656-nucleotide long non-coding RNA is filed under the name Salvia miltiorrhiza (redroot sage). Its description in RNAcentral is "long non-coding RNA (SMIL_LNC006591)". The record is from RNAcentral. Lineage: Eukaryota; Viridiplantae; Streptophyta; Magnoliopsida; Lamiales; Lamiaceae.